CAUCGCGAGGUGAAGCAAAUCCCAAAAAAGUAGUCUCAGUUCAGAUUGUAGGCUGCAACUCGCCUACAUGAAGUCGGAAUUGCUAGUAAUCGCGGAUCAGCAUGCCGCGGUGAAUACGUUCCCGGGCCUUGUACACACCGCCCGUCACACCAUGAGAGCCGGUAACACCCGAAGUCAGUAGCCUAACCGCAAGGGGGGCGCUGCCGAAGGUGGGAUUGGUAAUUGGGGUGAAGUCGUAACAAGGUACC
Molecule: ribosomal RNA, 248 nt
Filed under: uncultured bacterium
Lineage: Bacteria
Description: partial 16S ribosomal RNA
Rfam family: Bacterial small subunit ribosomal RNA
Source: RNAcentral